AUACGGAGGGGGUUAGCGUUGUGCGGAAUUACUGGGCGUAAAGCGCACGUAGGCGGAUUGGAAAGUUGGGGGUGAAAUCCCAGGGCUCAACCCUGGAACUGCCUCCAAAACUAACAGUCUAGAGUUCGAGAGAGGUGAGUGAAAUUCCAAGUGUAGAGGUGAAAUUCGUAGAUAUUUGGAGGAACACCAGUGGCGAAGGCGGCUCACUGGCUCGAUACUGACGCUGAGGUGCGAAAGCGUGGGGAGCAAACAGGAGUAGAAACCCUAGUAGUCC
This 274-nucleotide ribosomal RNA is filed under the name uncultured bacterium. RNAcentral's name for it is "partial 16S ribosomal RNA". It matches the Rfam family "Bacterial small subunit ribosomal RNA", at positions 523 to 796 of the family's 1533-position model. The record is from RNAcentral.